This 553-nucleotide ribosomal RNA is filed under the name uncultured bacterium. RNAcentral describes it as "bacterial SSU rRNA". It matches the Rfam family "Bacterial small subunit ribosomal RNA", at positions 353 to 896 of the family's 1533-position model. The record is from RNAcentral.
AGUGGGGAAUCUUCCGCAAUGGACGAAAGUCUGACGGAGCAACGCCGCGUGAGUGAAGAAGGCCUUCGGGUCGUAAAGCUCUGUCGUUUGGGACGAACGUGGAAUGUGUGAAUAAUGCAUUCUAAUGACGGUACCAAAGGAGGAAGCCACGGCUAACUACGUGCCAGCAGCCGCGGUAAUACGUAGGUGGCAAGCGUUGUCCGGAAUUAUUGGGCGUAAAGGGCGUGUAGGUGGAUUCUUAAGUCGUGUGUCUAAGUGCGAAGCUCAACUUCGUAUAGGCGCAGGAAACUGGGAAUCUUGAGUGCAGGAGAGGAAAGUGGAAUUCCCAGUGUAGCGGUGAAAUGCGUAGAUAUUGGGAGGAACACCAGUGGCGAAGGCGACUUUCUGGACUGUGUCUGACACUGAGGCGCGAAAGCUAGGGGAGCGAACGGGAUUAGAUACCCCGGUAGUCCUAGCCGUAAACGAUGGGUACUAGGUGUAGAGGGUAUCGACCCCUUCUGUGCCGGAGUUAACGCAAUAAGUACCCCGCCUGGGAAGUACGGCCGCAAGGUUG